GCACAAGCGGUGGAGCAUGUGGUUUAAUUCGACGCAACGCGCAGAACCUUACCAGCCCUUGACAUCCCGGUCGCGGACUCCAGAGACGGAGUUCUUCAGUUCGGCUGGACCGGAGACAGGUGCUGCAUGGCUGUCGUCAGCUCGUGUCGUGAGAUGUUGGGUUAAGUCCCGCAACGAGCGCAACCCCCGUCCUUAGUUGCUACCAUUUAGUUGAGCACUCUAAGGAGACUGCCGGUGAUAAGCCGCGAGGAAGGUGGGGAUGACGUCAAGUCCUCAUGGCCCUUACGGGCUGGGCUACACACGUGCUACAAUGGCGGUGACAAUGGGAUGCUAAGGGGCAACCCUUCGCAAAUCUCAAAAAGCCGUCUCAGUUCGGAUUGGGCUCUGCAACUCGAGCCCAUGAAGUUGGAAUCGCUAGUAAUCGUGGAUCAGCACGCCACGGUGAAUACGUUCCCGGGC
RNAcentral lists this ribosomal RNA (459 nucleotides) under uncultured bacterium. RNAcentral describes it as "bacterial SSU rRNA". It matches the Rfam family "Bacterial small subunit ribosomal RNA", at positions 923 to 1379 of the family's 1533-position model. The record is from RNAcentral.